Molecule: unclassified non-coding RNA, 343 nt
Filed under: uncultured fungus
Lineage: Eukaryota; Fungi
Description: sequence contains ITS1
Source: RNAcentral
AAUCCGAGAAUUUCACCUCCAACAAUGAAAUACGAAUGCCCCCAACUGUUCCUCUUAAUCAUUACUCCCGUCCCGAGACCAACGAAAUAGGACAGGAGUCCUAUAGUGUUAUUCCAUGCUGAAAUAUUCAAGCGUAAGCCCGCUUUGAACACUCUAAUUUUUUCAAAGUAACCACGUAGACUCCGAGUCCAGGUCGUUAAACCCAGAGCACGUCCUCUACAGGAAGUUAAAACCAACCAGUGCACACCAAACGGCGGACCGGUCGCUCUUAACCGAAAUCCAACUACGAGCUUUUUAACUGCAACAACUUAAAUAUACGCUAUUGGAGCUGGAAUUACCGCCA